GGAAAGAAUUAUUCAAGCAUUAUUCAAGCCGGAGACCCGGCCAAAGGGCACUGUACUAAACUAACUAAAGUGGGGGAUAGUGAGGGGAUAAAUUUCCUUAAGGAACUCGGCAAAAUCCCAAUGGCCCACCAGGGCAUACUACCCCACCCCCGCCUUAGGCGAGGGGUGGGCAGUAUUGGAACACGGGCCUCGACUGUUUACCAAAAACAUAGCCCUCGGCCAAUAUGAAAAUAGAUGUAUAGAGGGUGAGGCCUGCCCAAUGGUUGUAUCUAAAAGCGGUUGAUAAAAGUCGACCUCGUAAGGACAAUUGAAUGGCCGCGGUAACACUGACCGUGAUAAUGUAGCGUAAUCAAUAGCCAAUUAAUUGUUGGCCAGUAUGAAUGGCGCCACGAAGGCCCCACUGUCUUAAGGAAAUUCCCAGUGAAAUUGAAUUCGUAGUGAAGAUGCUACGUCCAAUUUGUUAGACGAAAAGACCCCGUUGAGCUUUACUGGGGCACUUACACGGCCCCGGCCUUCCAAACUAGGCUUACGAUGCCUAGGGAUUGGCCGAAUUUAAAUGGGCGGUUUAGACUAUGUGGCAGCCCCCCGUCGGGGCAGAUGAAACCCCACUCCCCCAUGUCAAAGGGGCUAACCCCCCCCUUGGGGGGGACAGUGUAAGUAGGACAGUUUGGUUGGGGCGACCGCCUUUUAAAGAGUAACGAAGGUGCGCUUAAGGUGCGCAAAUAAUGACUGAAGCCUGACUGCGAGGGGGACACCCCGAGCAGACACCCCCAAGCCCGCCCGAAGGGCGGCGGCGGGGUGGGCCAUAGUGACCCGUUAAUUUAGAGUGGAAUAGUUAACGAUCAACGAAUAAAAGUUACCACGGGGAUAACAGCGUAAUAUCGUUAGAGAGUUCACAUCGACGACGAUGUUGCGACCUC
Molecule: ribosomal RNA, 920 nt
Filed under: Terrazoanthus patagonichus
Lineage: Eukaryota; Metazoa; Cnidaria; Anthozoa; Zoantharia; Hydrozoanthidae
Description: partial 16S ribosomal RNA
Rfam family: Bacterial large subunit ribosomal RNA
Source: RNAcentral